AGAGCAUAGGGUGGAUGCCUUGGCACCAAGAGCCGAAGAAGGACGUGGUCAGCUGCGAUAAGCCAUGGUCAGCCGCAAGCAGGCAAUGACCCAUGGAUUUCCGAAUGCGGAAACGCGGCACGUUAACAGCGUGUCAUCAUGUCAUGAAUAAAUAGUGACAUGAGGGGAACCCGGUGAACUGAAACAUCUAAGUAGCCGGAGGAAGAGAAAGAAACAUCGAUUUCCUUAGUAGCGGCGAGCGAAAGGGAAAGAGCCCAAACCGAGGGUCUACGGACGUUCGGGGUUCGGACUUGCAAAAAUCGAAGUACUUAUAGACGAAGAGGUUUGGAACUUCCUACCAAAGAGGGUAACAGUCCCGUAGUCGAAAUGAGUACAAGAGGGCGAGAAUCCAGAGUACCACAGGACACGAGUAAUCCGGUGGGAAGACGGGGGGCCCACCCCCCAAGGCUAAAUACUACUUGGUGACCGAUAGCGUAUAGUACCGUGAGGGAAAGGUGAAAAGAACCCCGGGAGGGGAGUGAAAGAGUACCUGAAACCCUAUGUUUACAAGCAGUGGGAGCGAGAGCGACCAUGUACUUUUUGUAGAACGGGCCGGCGAGUUACUGUGUGCAGCGAGGUUAAGUUGUUAAGCAACGGAGCCGAAGGGAUACCGAGUCUGAAAAGGGCGUAAAGUUGCAUGCAGUACACCCGAAACCGGGUGACCUAUCCAUGGACAGGAUGAAGCGACGGUAAGACGUCGUGGAGGUCCGAACCACACGUACGUGAAAAGUGCGGGGAUGAGCUGUGGAUAGCGGAGAAAUUCCAAUCGAACUCGGAGAUAGCUGGUUCUCCCCGAAAUAGCUUUAGGGCUAGCCUCGAUUUAGAUUACCGGGGGUAGAGCACUGAAUGGGCUAGGGGGCCACAAAGCUUACCGAACCCUAUCAAACUUCGAAUACCGGAUAAUUGAUGAUCGGGAGUCAGACAGUGUGAGAUAAGUUUCAUUGUCGAAAGGGAAACAGCCCAGAUCUACGACUAAGGUCCCAAAGUUCAAGUUAAGUGGAAAAGGAUGUGCAAUUGCGCAGACAACCAGGAUGUUGGCUUAGUAGCAGCCAUUCAUUCAAAGAGUGCGUAAUAGCUCACUGGUCGAGUGAUUGUGCGCCGAAAAUGUAACGGGGCUAAACUUGACACCGAAGUCUAGGCAGAAGGAAACUUCUGGGUAGGGGAGCAACGUGUACGGGCAGAAGCAGAAGCGGAAGCGACUGUGGACUGUACAGGAGAGAGAAUGCCGGCAUGAGUAGCGAGAGCAAAGUGAGAAUCUUUGCCGUCGAAAGCCUAAGGUUUCCUGAGGAAGGCUCGUCCUCUCAGGGUAAGUCGGGACCUAAGCCGAGGACAAUAGUCGUAGGCGAUGGACAAUCGGUUAAUAUUCCGAUACCGCCGAGCAACCGGAUGCAGUGACACAGAAGGAUAGGCAGAGCGUGGCGAUGGUAGACCACGUCCAAGCAGUGAGGCUGUUGUGUAGUGAAGUACGCACAACGUAAGGCUGGGCUGUGAUGGGGAACGAUUACGAUCGGUAAGCUGCUGAAUUCACGCUGGCGAGAAAAGCUGCUACGAAGCGAAGGCGCCCGUACCGCAAACCGACACAGGUAGGCGAGGAGAGAAUCCUAAGACGAGCGGGAGAACCCUUGUUAAGGAACUCGGCAAAAUGACUCCGUAACUUAGGGAGAAGGAGUGCCCAGGAAUGGGCCGCAGAGAAUAGACCCAAGCGACUGUUUACCAAAAACACAGGUCUGUGCGAAGUAGAGAUACGACGUAUACGGGCUGACACCUGCCCAGUGCCGGAAGGUUAAGGGGAAAUGUUAGGGCAACCGAAGCAUGGAACUUAAGCCCCGGUGAACGGCGGCCGUAACUAUAACGGUCCUAAGGUAGCGAAAUUCCUUGUCGGGUAAGUUCCGACCCGCACGAAUGGUGUAACGAUUUGGGUACUGUCUCAACAAGGGACCCGGCGAAAUUGUAGUAUGUGUGAAGAUGCACAUUACCCGCGAUAGGACGGAAAGACCCCGUAGAGCUUUACUGUAGUUUAACAUUGGAUUCCGGUAACAUAUGCACAGGAUAGGUGGGAGGCGGAGAAGCAGUGAUUUCGGUUGCUGCAGAGCCGACGUUGGGAUACCACUCUUGUGUUACUGGGGUUCUAACCUGUGGCCGUGAUCCGGCACAGGAACAGUGUUAGAUGGGCAGUUUGACUGGGGCGGUCGCCUCCAAA
This 2239-nucleotide ribosomal RNA is filed under the name human gut metagenome. Its description in RNAcentral is "bacterial LSU rRNA". It matches the Rfam family "Bacterial large subunit ribosomal RNA", at positions 14 to 2293 of the family's 2925-position model. The record is from RNAcentral.